GGACGAACGCUGGCGGCGUGCUUAACACAUGCAAGUCGAACGAAGCUACGGAGCUUGCUCUGUAGACUUAGUGGCGGACGGGUGAGUAACGCGUGAGUAAUCUGCCCAUAAGAGGGGGACAACAGCUGGAAACGGCUGCUAAUACCGCAUAAGACCACACCACCACAUGGUGGAGAGGUCAAAGAUUUAUCGCUUAUGGAUGAGCUCGCGUCCCAUUAGGUAGUUGGUAGGGUAAUGGCCUACCAAGCCCGCGAUGGGUAGCCGACCUGAGAGGGUGAUCGGCCACACUGGAACUGAGACACGGUCCAGACUCCUACGGGAGGCAGCAGUGGGGAAUAUUGGGCAAUGGGGGAAACCCUGACCCAGCAACGCCGCGUGAGGGAAGAAGGUCUUCGGAUUGUAAACCUCUGUCCUUGGGGACGAAACAAAUGACGGUACCCAAGGAGGAAGCCCCGGCUAACUACGUGCCAGCAGCCGCGGUAAUACGUAGGGGGCUAGCGUUGUCCGGAAUUACUGGGCGUAAAGGGAGCGUAGGCGGCUCCGUAAGUUAGAUGUGAAAUACCCGUGCUCAACAUGGGGGGUGCAUCUAAAACUGCGGGGCUUGAGUGCAGGAGAGGAAAGUGGAAUUCCUAGUGUAGGAGUGAAAUCCGUAGAUAUUAGGAGGAACACCGGUGGCGAAGGCGGCUACCUGGACCGAUACUGACGCUGAGACGCGAAAGCGUGGGGAGCAAACAGGAUUAGAUACCCUGGUAGUCCACGCCGUAAACGAUGAGUACUAGGUGUUGCGGGUAUUGACCCCU
RNAcentral lists this ribosomal RNA (800 nucleotides) under uncultured bacterium. RNAcentral's name for it is "bacterial SSU rRNA". It matches the Rfam family "Bacterial small subunit ribosomal RNA", at positions 27 to 840 of the family's 1533-position model. The record is from RNAcentral.